GUUGGGGGGGACAUAACAGUUUUUUCACUCUUGUUAAUUUUCUGUUGAUUCCAUCUAUCCUUAAUCUUCAUUAUGAACAAUACACCAGGUUUUCUUCUGAAGAUCAAAUGUGGUAGUGAGGCAAUAAUGCAAAGACAUAGGAUGGCAGGGGGAUUCCGGCUUCUUUCUUUUUUCCCCUCCUGCGGAAAGAGGGUCUACAACACUCUGUAGUAGAGAAGACAAUUCUAAUUAUGAAGGGUAAUUAGCUAGGCUCUGCUACAAAGCCCUGAAAGAUUCCUCAACGCGGGCUGCUUUUCUCUUCCUCUCCACCAGAGGCGACAGCCUCUUUCCAAACAGAAACUGGGUUGGAAUAGGCCGGUCCGGGGGAACAGCCAGAAGAAAGAUCAAAGGCUAAAAACCGCCUCAAAGAGCAAAGGUCAAUACCCAACUCCUAAGCAGGCCUUAAGCUUUCAUCUGCCACGAAACAUGAAGGUGACUCCUCCCAACAUCGAGACCUGGGGGCCACUCAGCCUUUCAGAGACCCGGCGGGUCCGAGGCGAGUAACAGGUAACACCGGCUGAGCCGCCGCCGACCGGAAGUGGAAGAGAGCCUGGGGCGGGGUGAGGACAGGCCGCAGCACGCCUGCGCAGUCAGCAAGAGUUGCAGCGCUCAUGCGCAGCUGGGCGGUGACAGGGUGACGCUCGGAGCGUGGGCCGCGACUCUCACGGAUCCGGUUCCGCCCUCUCGCUGCCGAUCCUUCGGAGCGAGCGCCUGAGAUCCCUUUCCCAGAGUGCUCUGCGCCGUGAAGAAGCGGCUCCCGGGGACUGGGGGCAUUUUGUGUUGGCUGGAGCUGGAGUAACAAGAUGGCGUCGUCGGCGGAGUGACAGGGGUCCUUCUGGGCCGGAGCCGGCGGCAGUGGUGGCAGCGGUAUCGCCGCCCUACCUCACCGCGCCCCUUUUCCAGCCCGCGACGUCGCCGCGCAAGCGAGGCAGCGGCGGCCGCCGAGAAACAAGUGGCCCAGCCUGGUAACCGCCGAGAAGCCCUUCACAAACUGCGGCCUGGCAAAAAGAAACCUGACUGAGCGGCGGUAAUCAGGCUCCCCUCGGCUGAUUCUGGGCCCCGAACGCCGGUAAAGGCCUCCGUGUUCCGUUUCCUGCCGCCUUCCUCCGUAGCCUUGCCUAGUGUAGGAGCCCCAGAGGCCUCCGUCCUCUUCCCAGAGGUGUCGGGGCUUGGCCCCAGCCUCCAUCUUCGUCUCUCAGGAUGGCGAGUAGCAGCGGCUCCAAGGCCGAAUUCAUUGUCGGAGGGAAAUAUAAACUGGUACGGAAGAUCGGGUCUGGCUCCUUCGGGGACAUCUAUUUGGCGAUCAACAUCACCAACGGCGAGGAAGUGGCAGUGAAGCUAGAAUCUCAGAAGGCCAGGCAUCCCCAGUUGCUGUACGAGAGCAAGCUCUAUAAGAUUCUUCAAGGUGGGGUUGGCAUCCCCCACAUACGGUGGUAUGGUCAGGAAAAAGACUACAAUGUACUAGUCAUGGAUCUUCUGGGACCUAGCCUCGAAGACCUCUUCAAUUUCUGUUCAAGAAGGUUCACAAUGAAAACUGUACUUAUGUUAGCUGACCAGAUGAUCAGUAGAAUUGAAUAUGUGCAUACAAAGAAUUUUAUACACAGAGACAUUAAACCAGAUAACUUCCUAAUGGGUAUUGGGCGUCACUGUAAUAAGUGUUUAGAAUCUCCAGUGGGGAAGAGGAAAAGAAGCAUGACUGUUAGUACUUCUCAGGACCCAUCUUUCUCAGGAUUAAACCAGUUAUUCCUUAUUGAUUUUGGUUUGGCCAAAAAGUACAGAGACAACAGGACAAGGCAACACAUACCAUACAGAGAAGAUAAAAACCUCACUGGCACUGCCCGAUAUGCUAGCAUCAAUGCACAUCUUGGUAUUGAGCAGAGUCGCCGAGAUGACAUGGAAUCAUUAGGAUAUGUUUUGAUGUAUUUUAAUAGAACCAGCCUGCCAUGGCAAGGGCUAAAGGCUGCAACAAAGAAACAAAAAUAUGAAAAGAUUAGUGAAAAGAAGAUGUCCACGCCUGUUGAAGUUUUAUGUAAGGGGUUUCCUGCAGAAUUUGCGAUGUACUUAAACUAUUGUCGUGGGCUACGCUUUGAGGAAGCCCCAGAUUACAUGUAUCUGAGGCAGCUAUUCCGCAUUCUUUUCAGGACCCUGAACCAUCAAUAUGACUACACAUUUGAUUGGACAAUGUUAAAGCAGAAAGCAGCACAGCAGGCAGCCUCUUCCAGUGGGCAGGGUCAGCAGGCCCAAACCCCCACAGGAACGUGCUGGUCACUCAGCAGCACACCCACAUCACAGGGGAAGAUCUUGAAAUACCUGGACAGUCUGAACACGCUGCUCUGAAUACACUCAAUUCUAAGAAGUACCAGGGAACCGCAUCUUCUUGCUGAAAUCUUGAAUUUUUGUCAGCUUUUUUUUUUUUUUUUUACUGUGGACAGUAAAGCUGGAAAGAUCUAAAUAACCCAACAGGAAAUGCCGAUGAAGGUGCAAGAGUUGGUUUGUGGUCAUCUGGAGUCCAUGUCUCCAAGACUGCUGGACCUUCAAAUUCUGCAACUUGUUAGAUCAUCUGGAUGAUAGCACAACUGUUAGAAGACCUAGAAGAAUACAGCAUUGCUGUGACUCGGUGAUGAAUGCAGACCAUCUACCAGCUGGGGAAAGAAUCAAUUAUAAACAGGAAAAGGGAUUCAUUCCUCAUUUUAACUGAUGUUACAGUGAAGAUGGGUUCUUGAACUCUUGGAAGCCUGGAUAAGCCACCUAAUCCGCAAGAUAAAAACCAAAGACUAAUAUUGGGGAAAAGAAUGCUUAGUACUUGAAGACUGAAUGUUGAAUACCUGUUGAAUAUUCCUAUUGAGGUUUUUUCCUAAAUAUACUUCAGUAACAUCUUAGGACAAUUCACUGGAGAAAUGUUGAUCCCUGGCUGGAAUGUCAUACCAUUGACCCAUCUGAAGAGUUAAAGCUGGAUUUGACUGCUCUUUUCUACCAAGAAUAUUGUUAGGGUAGCCUUUUACCAGUUUCUAAACAAUUGUAAUCAUUUAUUGACUCAGCAAUUCCUCAGAUAACAGGUCAAAAGAUGUACAGAUAUAUUCUAAAGUUUUCCUGUUAUUAAAGGCACAAGAGUUUCCUUGUAUUUUGACUGACAAUGUAGCAUGUUUCCAUUUUAGUUUGUUAGUGAUGGUGGUUUUCCCUCUGAAAGCCAUUUGGUGUAUUCACCAUAACAAUUAGUUUAACAUGAUUACAUAAGAAAACUAUGAUAAAACCCAGCAAUUUUAGUAGUUGUGAAAAUACGUUUUUUAAAUCAUGUUUAAGAAGAAUUGCAGGACUUGAAACCAAAUCCUGAUGGGGGAAUUCUGUUUAAUCCUGUUUAAUCUGUUUAAUUUCUGUUCAAUCCUUAGUUUCUUAACCUGCAUAGCUUAUCCUAUAUUGUACUUUCUUUCUUUUUUAAACUCCCAAACAAGAAGCUUGAAAUGUUUCCUGUAUUUUAAAAUUGAAAUUUGGUCACAGGGUAUAGUCAGAUUUUUAUUAAGGUUUGGUUUGACAACCUUUAAAAGAAAGGUUAAAAGAAAGGUUUACCUCGCUAAUACUUCUUAAUAACAUGCAUCAAAUGAUAUUCCCUAUGGUGAAGUAUAUUCUCAAAGUUUUGUUAUCUUUCAUUUUUGGCAUUUGCUGCUUAUGGACUUAGUACCCAGGCAACAAAGAUCUAUUAUGCACCUACUCUGUUGUAUGUUUGCUGUUAUUCCCCCCCCCCCAAAAAAAGAGCAUAUAUGCAUAAGAAAUAAAUAUUAGAAUUAUUUUGUUUCUCCCACAAAGCCCAUGGGAGAUGGCCCAACAAAUGUUUAAAAAGUAAAAGAGGUCAGGCACGGUGUCUCCCACCUGUAACCCCCACACUUUGGGAGGCCAUGGCGGGUGGAUCACGAGGUCAGGAGUUUGAGACCAGCCUGGCCAACACAGUGAAACCGUGUCUCUACUAUAAAUACAAAAAUUAGCCAGGCAUGGUGGCAGGCACCUGUAGUCCCAGCUACUCAGGAGGCUGAGGCAGGAGAAUCGCUUGAACCCAGGAGGCAGAGGUUGCAGUGAGCCAAGAUCAUGCCACUGCCCUCCAACCUGGGUGACAGAGCGAGACUCUGUCUCCAAAAAAAGAAAAAAGAACUAAAAAGAAAGGAGCAGUUUAUGAUUGAAGGAAACAUGACCUGGGCUGAAAAAGUGAGGAUUGAUUGGAGUGGGCUAGAACGAGCUAUAGUUUCUAGCUCAUUUGUAAGGAGGUAGACAAAGGGGCAUUGGUGCCUCAGAGUGGGUGUCUGGUGAGAGGAAAAACGGUGCUUGAGAGAUUUUCAGGCUAUUGCUGUUGGACAGGCAUAUUUUCUCCCUUUGCCUUUAGCUGUAGAUAAAGUGUGGUUAUGACCUGAGGCUUCUUGUAUUCAAACUUGGCCUAGGGCCUAUGUAGAGGCCCUAGGGUCUACUUGGGGUGGAGGAGGGAAGUAUUUGUAGAAUGUGUAGGCUUGAGAAGUAAAUAAAGCCAAAAAAGCAUCACUUGCUUACAUUUUUAAAUGAGUCAUAAAACAAUCUUUCUAAUGCGGCUGGUAAAGAAGUUUUAAAGGUCUAUCCAAGGUUUCUCUACAGAAAUUACAUGCUUCUCAAGUCUUUAGUAAAAUAAUACAGAUAAUUAUGCCUUGAAUGCAUUUAUUAUUAAAGUUUACCGUUUUAAUUUGUGUCUGAAAUAAUUUGUGCUCAUGGUAGGAUUAAAAUUGUAUUCUUUAGUUAAAGCAAAGCAAUCUGUUUUUCAUUGAUUUGAUAAAUAUGUGAAUGCCUAAUAUGUUCUGGGUACUAAAAAUGCAGAAACAUGCUCAUUUGAAUUACUAAUAAUUAUUUUAGUAUGCUGAGAGGCUUUGAAUUCACUGUACCCCUCCUUCCUAGAGUCAUUCAAAACAGAAAAAAUUAGUUUUAAGUAUAGAUUCAUGUUUUUCUGUUUUAAAAAGUUGAGCUAAUACGUUUCACAAGAGACGAAAUAACAUGAGCCACUAUAAUUAUUGGCUCAGUUCCACCCAAUUUCCAUAUUUUGGGUGUAAUUUAAAAUUUUUAACUUGGAAUUUUAACUUUUUUUUUUUUGUUUUGAUUUUUUACCAGGUUUCUAAGCAUGAACUGAGGAACAGAAGAAGCAGAGCAGAUGAUCGGAGCAGCAUUUGUUUCUCCCCAAAUCUAGAAAUUUUAGUUCAUAUGUACACUAGCCAGUGGUUGUGGACAACCAUUUACUUGGUGUAAAGAACUUAAUUUCAGUAUAAACUGACUCUGGGCAGCAUUGGUGAUGCUGUAUCCUGAGUUGUAGCCGCUGUAAUUGUGAAUAUUAACUGAGAUAGUGAAACAUGGUGUUCGGUUUUCUAUUGCAUUUUUUCAAGUGGAAAAGUUAACUAAAUGGUUGACACACAAAAAUUGGUGGAGAAAUUGUGCAUAUGCCAAUUUUUUGUUAAAACCUUUUGUUUUGAACUAUACUGCUUUGAGAUCUCAUUUCAGAAGAACGGCAUGAACAGUCUUCAGCCACAGUUGUGAUGGUUGUAAAUGCUCACAAUUGUGCAUUCUUAGGGUUUUUCCAUCCCUGGGGUUUGCAAGUUGUUCACUUAAAACAUUCUUAAAAUGGUUGGCUUCUUGUCUGCAAGCCAGCUGAUAUGGUAGCAACCAAAGAUUCCAGUGUUUGAGCAUAUGAAAGACUCUGCCUGCUUAAUUGUGCUAGAAAUAACAGCAUCUAAAGUGAAGACUUAAGAAAAACUUAGUGACUACUAGAUUAUCCUUAGGACUCUGCAUUAACUCUAUAAUGUUCUUGGUAUUAAAAAAAGAAAAGCAUAUUUGUCACAGAAAUUUAGUUAACAUCUUACAACUGAACAUGUAUGUAUGUUGCUUAGAUAAAUGUAAUCACUGUAAACAUCUAUAUGAUCUGGGAUUUUGUUUUUAUUUUGAAAUGGGAGCUUUUUUGUUUACAAGUUCAUUAAAAACUAAAAACUUUCUGUAA
Molecule: RNA transcript, 6031 nt
Organism: Symphalangus syndactylus (siamang)
Lineage: Eukaryota; Metazoa; Chordata; Mammalia; Primates; Hylobatidae
Gene: CSNK1A1
Gene name: casein kinase 1 alpha 1
Source: RefSeq, a predicted model, not a curated record